This 821-nucleotide long non-coding RNA is filed under the name Arachis ipaensis. Its description in RNAcentral is "long non-coding RNA (AIPA_LNC001866)". The record is from RNAcentral. Lineage: Eukaryota; Viridiplantae; Streptophyta; Magnoliopsida; Fabales; Fabaceae.
GUACAUGUUGCUUCAGAUCUACCACUGCCCCAACAUGAAAUUCAGAUUGAAACCAGCAAGUAAUUUUGGAGGAUUCUUAGUAGGAAAUAUGACUUGGAAUUAAUAAAUAUUAAAUAAAAUAAAUUUUAAUUACUUUUUACUAAUUUUUGUUUGUUAUAAAACAUUUAUAUAACCAAAAAAGAUAAAUAGAAGAAAUGAUGAUUAGAGAGAUUGGGUUUUGGUGAGAAAAACCGUGGGCAAGGGAAACUGAAAUAAGACAAGCCCUGAUUUUUCAGCUCCAUACGAGACCAGAGGGCGCCCACGUUAAUUGUGAAGAUGGUUGUACUUAUUUAAAUCAAUGAUUCUCCCCAGAGUGAGAGAGUAUGCGAUGAUGUUGUUGUUACUUGUUUUGAUGUGGAUUGCAAUAUCUCACUUUGUUAGUAAGUGCAUGGAGGAAAUACAAGAGAACCACAUCUGCAAUAAUCAUGACCGUACGAUGCGUCGUCUUCGUGCCUCCCAUGGCCCACCUCUUCAUCUCCGCCCUCACAACCUCUAAUAAUUGCAUCUCUGAUCUUCAUCAAUGGUGUAUUGCUCACUCGUUAUCAUGUACAACCUACCAUUUUGUACUUCAUCACUUCUAUGUUUCUGUAACACGCAUUUCACAAGUUAUAUAUACUUUCUUUUUAGAGAGUUGAGCGUUGGUUUAUAUCCACUAUAGACAUAAGAAAAUGUUUAUCCACUUUUAGAUUACUAGUGCCACCGUAGAUAUAUUCAUAUGGAGCAAAUUGACUCAAGCUCAGGCAAUUUGCAAACAGAUUGGCCUAGUUUGAACUGAAUUAGAA